Molecule: long non-coding RNA, 42823 nt
Organism: Gallus gallus (chicken)
Lineage: Eukaryota; Metazoa; Chordata; Aves; Galliformes; Phasianidae
Source: Ensembl
CUGGCCUCUCAACACACGUGAACUUCUUGUAGAUUUGGAGAGGACAAGACGGUACACCUUAUUCUGGAGAGCAAUGGGAGCUCUUUAGUGGGGGGCAGUCUUAUUUGGAAAAAAAAACAAUGAAUUUGUAUCACAGAUGAGAUGUUGAUGCUGACAGGAUUACAACUUUUCUAUCAUGCAAUGCACACUCAGAUAUUUAAUAAUUACAUAAAUGAGGAGAAAACAUUUGGAAAAGUGGCUCUUGAGAUAUGAUUACUAUGACAAAACAGAAGAUCUGCAACAAAAACAGGGCUUUAUUUUAAGGGGAAAAAAUCCUUAGGAAAACAACAUCUUGAGCAGUGUCACUGCAGAGUACAAACUAUAUUAUCUUGUCAUAAUACAUUGUUUUGGUUGGGAUGAAUUUUAAUUGAAUAACAAACUAAAUUACAGCUUCAGAACAUGUGCUAGUGCUAAAGAGCUUGGAAUGUGGCACUUGAGAAAGCACCUUGAACGUGGACGUUCUGAUUGCUCUUGUUAAGAUGUAAAUGAUCACCAACCUCAAUGGCAGGUCAUCGUUUGGGGACUUACCCAUAUUAUACUGUUAUAAAUGACAAAUAGUAACACUACUGAAAGAAAUACACGUGCACGCACACAUCAGUUCCUCAGAAAAGGUGGUCCUCUGUAAGGAUAGCUAUGAUCUGAAUAAGCAGAACAAAAUCAAAUCAAGCUCUAGUUAGCUUUGCUUAAAUUGCAGCAUUGCUUUUUUCAUCUCUCACUUAUUUUGCUUUCCAUAAGCACGUAGCAAGUCAUGAUUAUGCUGGAGAAUUUGCACAUCAUUAGCACCAUUUACGAAGUCUUUUCAUGCUUCAUUGUCUUCGGUAAUUUUAAAACACAGGAUAUUUGUGAUGUUUGGUAUGGCACCUUCUGCAUUCAAGCUCAGAACAACCCUUCUCAUCAGAACCACACAGCACAAUCUGCUAUCACUGGUCAAAGCAUUCCAUGCGGCAGCAGGUGGAAAUGACGGGAAGCUGCCAGAGACGAGUCCCUCACAAGCACUUCCAUGUAUCUAGCUCUUGCACUUUACAGAGUAUCUGCUUUACUCUUAGGGUACAGGGCCAAAAGUACAGGGGCAUUUUAACAUCUCGUAUAGCUUCUUGUUUACUCCUUUAACAAGAUGAACUUACAGGAUAUUCAGUCCAUGUAACUGAAGUUUUGAGCAGGUACUGCGAUGACAGCUUUCAAUUGGAAUAUAAGCAUGUUGUGGCAGGACUUUCACUUCUGAAUAAUCAUUCCUCAUAAACAGUGAUUAAGUGUCAGGGCUCAUGACUAUUUCAGAAGCUUAUUACUUCUAUCAGCACAUAUAGUCCUAAGAUUUUUUCUUUCUUCUCAGCUGCUAAGAGGUAAGGCAAAAUUGAUUUGGAAAUAACUCACACAUAUUGAAAUUAAACACUAACAUGAAACACUUUAUUUGAGAAGCUUUAGGGACUUAUAACAUUUUGUUAUAGUCCUGUAUGAUCUGGGAAGGUUACAACAGAUAUUUCUGACAGAAUACUUUUGCACUAAGGCUAAAUUUCCUUUGCUAAUAGCAAUGCUGCAUCGCAGUUAAUAUAAAGAAGACUUAUCAAGGGCCUCUUUUCAUUGUUUCAGAACAGAUGCCAGUUUUCAUCGAGGUGUAUUCUUUUUAGUAUUUUCUCUCAUCUCACAUCGCCGUUUGCUGCGUAUUACAUUGUGGAAACCGCACUCAUAAAAGAAACAGGCGUGAAACGCCGGCAGAAAGCGAGAAACCAGCGAAACGCUCGACGUUCCCGAGCUGUCCCCAGCAUCCCCGGCUCUCUCGGAAGGAGGAGAAGGGGUCGCUGCGGCCUCCGGCUGCCCGCCGGAGUGCGCAGCCCGCGGGGCGCUGCAGCGGCGGGAGCGCCCGGGAGGGGGCGCCGCGCUUUUACCACAGAAGGCGGCCGGGCGGCUCGCUGUAGGCGAAGCCGGGCGCCGCUCUCCUCGGCUUGCAGCAGCGGCGUAGGACUUAAGGGAGCAAACCCCGCGCCCGCCUGAAAAUUCAAGCGAGGCAAUAAGCUACGUACGUCUAAGAGGCGCUUAAAGAUACAAGCAAGAUUUUACCUAAUGGCAGGGCUAUUUCGCGUGACUGAGCUUUAAUAUGCAACCGAAGACUUAAGAGAAGGAUGUGAAUAAUGGCAAAGAGGUCUAAGCUCCUCAGCUCCUCAAAACUGGAAAAUCCUAUUCCAGAUUUGUCAUGUUUGUGCUCGUAAGUCUGCUAGGAAAGUGAAGCUAGGAAAAAAGAGAAGGGUUUUGUUUUAAAGCAACUACAGCAUUGUCCACUGAAACAAAAGUGGGAUACCACUUAAUUUUAACACUUGGGUGUUAAAUUAAGCCCUCACAAGCACGUAUCAAGGUCCUACUCAAAUAAGUAGCAGCAAAGUCUACCCUGUAUCAAGUAAAAGAACUCUUGGAAACUUCAGUCUUCAUUCUCCAAAAUCAAUUAAUAUGUAUAUAAAUGAGACAGUGAACAGUAAAACACCUCCUAAUCAUAAAUAUCUCGUUAAAAUAAUGUGAUCUAUCUGUUCUUUCCCCCAUUUUUUUUUCUUGAGAUUCCCAAACUUAUGAAAGCUUCUUAAAUUUAUGAAAGCGUCUCUGUAUUUAAGAGUGUUAAGAGGCUAUUUUCUUGCAAGUUUACUCAGUAGAGCCAUUAAACUCCUGAUUUUUCUUCCACUACUCUAAGGAAAACUACUCUUAUCCUUUACAAUGCCAUACACACAGAAUCAGUUCCUCAUUUGCAGGCAAGUUAUUCAUUUUUUCCUACUUAGCGUCAAAGCAAUCAUGAUCAUUAGGCAACUCUAGAGUUAAAUAAAUGUGACCUAAAGUGCUCACAAGUUAGAAAUUAUUUUGACAGAGAUAUUCUAACUUCAAUAAGUGGAAAUUGAAGGACUGCACCUGAAAUAUUUCAAACAAACCUCAUUCUCCAAAUGCAAAUAUAUUAAAAACACAAAAGAAAAGGUAGAAAUACACUCAAAGUUAAAAUAUUUCCUAUCUCUGAAAUGCAUUUGAAUAAGACUGGCUAGUUGGCCAAAAGUCAAACAUACUAGUGCUCAUUGACAAUUAAUAAAUUAAAGAACAAUCUUAUGUUGAAAAAAAGAAACACAAAUAACAAUAUCAACAACAACACAUAUGAAUAACACAGUGAAUAUCUAGUUUUAGCUAGACAAAUAAAAAACAGUACUCUCUGAAAUAGUUUCACAUUUACCUAUUCCAGCUCUGCUCCUCUCUGCAGUGCACACAUGUAAGAUAUGAACUGCCUUGUUUAUGCACGUAUACCAAUAGUACCUCUACAGCACGCAGCCUCAGACAAGCCCACCUGCUAGGAAUUCCCCUAAGGACAGCACCGUGAAACAUAAGAAAAUUUGCAUCUAUUCAUAAAAGAUCACUUUACUUUAGAUGAAGCCCAUGUGGAAUGACUACAUGAGCCUGGGACAUUUUCAGACUUGAUACCUCAUUUCUCCAAAAUGCCAAGCCUAUGCAACUCCCUGAUCUCAGUAAGAUUACGCUGAAGAGAGAGCACCUCAUCGUUGGUCCCCCUGACAAAUCGACAAGCCUCUAUAGGGUAGUCUGUGCUAACCAGUCAUUACUGCCUGACACUGUUUCACUUCACUCAUCUUUCUACACCUCACGAAGCCUCUACUUCCCUCCAUCCUCUAAAAAGAGACAAAUAAGUCCCCAACCCUUUAGUAGAGAACUAUCUCACUUAUAAUUGCUGCUAUGACCUUACCUAUAUGAAAACAUAGUUCCUCUGGUACAUGACCAUCCUCUUCCUUGUCUGUGUUGCCUGAUGCUGUUCAACUUGCCAGAGACAGAAUGCUCCCUGGGCCAUGACGCAGUAAAAAAGCCAACGUCACUUUAUUAUCCUUUUGUAAAUACACUAUUACCACUACUAACGUGUUUGACACUUCACAUGCUUCUUGUAAUUAGCCACAAAUUUGGUCACUUGAAGCAGGGUGUUUCCUUAACCUUGCAAAUGAUUAAGGACCACAAGGGUAAACAGAAAGAGUCUUCCGCCUAUCUCACUACUCUGUUCUAGGUUCUCCUUCCCUCAGAUGAAACUUCAGUUUACCUGAGCAAGGGUAAACUGUUGUAAGGCAAUGUCAAUACUGCACAGCCAGCUUAUCGUGACUAGAGACAUUUUUUAACAGUGAGAAAAGAGAAGCAGCAUGAAAUGAAAUAUAAUUGCAAAUCCAUGUACCUUUAUCCCUGCUGGGUACAGUACCAGCAUCUUACAAGACACUGCAUAUGAUGACAGGAAAAAAGCAUGUUUCACAGUUUUUGUUUAAAUAUUGCAGAAUAGUAGAUAAGGUUAUCAGUAAAAUACAAAAAUUUCUACAACACCUUAUCAAAAUAAAGUCUUCAAGCUCAGAUCAUGAGGAGUUUGUCAGAGCUACAGGUGGGAGCUAGAACUCUCAACUGUCUUUUUCACCUUAAAAACUCGUGAAUGCAUCUUUCAUUACGAGUUGUUCCAGAUUUCAGAGAGUAUCUGAGAUCUUUCAGUAAAGAGAAGUAAAGGUAAGGGAGAAUGCAUGACAGAGUGAUGUUGAAAGAGAAGGGAAUGAGGCACAAUAGUUAGGCAUACAACCAGCUGAAAACCACUUUAGUCUGUACUACCUGCCAUAUAUUUUUAUUUUCCAAUUUUCACUUCCUUGCAGUAAGCACACUUAUUACCACUUGUUGGUUUUUUUUUUCUUUUUCUUUCUUUCUUUUUUUUUCCUUUCUUUCUAAGACCUUAUACAAAGGAAUUAGAGAGUUGGAGUCCUUUGAGGCACCCUCAGGACAUGAGAAGACUCUUUUCGCAAGGUUUGCAAACAGAAACAAUGAAAGAAAACACACAUGAAACUGAGAGCAUUCUAAUAAUCUUACCCCCAGUUCUCUGCUUAGCAUUCACUAUGUAUGUUUUGGAUUCUGGUCAGCAAUUAGCAUUUCUCCAGCUUUUGCACAUCUCUGUUUUUUUAAGACUACCAACACACAAGAAAGCAGCUUCCCACGACUGAGCAGAGUUUUUAUCCUAAGCUGUUGUACUGGUCCUUUAACUUUUUAUGACUCAUAGUUUAAGUAUUUGGGAAUUCCCCUCUAAAUAUGAGUUUGACACACUUGCAUUACGGAAAGUUAUUUUAUUCAAAAAGUAACAGAACGCAACAUUCAUGCAAUCCCCAGGUCUAUAUUUAGCAAUGCACAAUAAGUCUAUUUUUUUCUUCCAAAAAAGCCUUCAUACUGUUUGUAAUUAAAGACAGAUUGAAGGAAAAAAAGAGAGAAGGAGAAGAUUGAAUAGGAAAAAUAGUGGCAUUGAGAACAAUCAUAGUGUUAUACACCAAAGCAAACCAGGAGCUUUUUUUUUCUGAACUAUUCAAGCAAUGCUAGGCUAUAUGAACCCCCUGCCCUCCAGUUGCAUGUAAAAGCAUGCAGCUUAUCUCUUACCUGGUUGCUGAGGUAUCUUCUUGGUGGGCUGACCGGUCACUGUGGAUCACCUGACCAAAGCCUGGAAAAGAAGAGAAUAAGAUCAGCUGACCAUCAGUGCUGGCUAGCUUCAAGCUCAAGCACUGCUCUCCACAGCACUUUGUCAUGUGAGUCUGGACAGAACCAGCUGUCAUUGCUUCAGAAAAAGGGAAACGGGCCCCUCCGCUUCCACCUCCUUCCUUCCUCCUCUCUCACUCUUUCCUAUCUCUCUCUGCCUCCAGCCUCCUCCCUUUCUCAUUCUCCAGCCCCGCUCAUUCACUGACUGCCUAGUGGGGGUCUCCCAGGGGAAGCCACAUUCCACAACAUGCAAGCAUUUCCCCUGCAUCUUGAGGUUUCUCAACAGGCUGCCUACACACUUCUGCUGAAGAAAAAAAAAAAAAAGAAAAGAAAAAAAAGAAAAAAAAAAAAGAAGAAAAAAGAAUCAGAGAAACAGAGAAAAGGCACCACAUUCCACAGCCCUCAGUCAGCCCUGGCAGGCUAUGAGGCAUUUUCAGUCACACAGCACAAAAUGCAUUAGUCAGAGCUGAAAGACCACACACUUUGUACCACUACCAUGCUAACAGAGAAUGGUCUGAGCAGAGCUACAGGAAAAAGGAAAAGGAGGGGUUCCCAUCGGUGCUCCCAUUUUACACAGUGCACCCACCCAAACCCAGGGAUGUUUUGCGGGGAAAGGCCCCCAGGUGACACCCAGAGCAGAACCACAGUGUGUGCGGGCAGAGGGGACGGCUCUCUAUCCCCAGAGCACAACCUUCAUUGCCAGAACUCCCCCUCCAGCAGAAUGUGUUAUUCCAAAGACUGCAAGACAUUAUCUAAAUCAGAACUUCUAUCUCCCCAAUGGUUUGUUCGUAGGAAAUAGAAGCCUAGAAGAAGCGAAAGUAACACUGCAUGAUUCAGAUUCCCCUAAACCGCAUAUACUUUCAAUUCAAACUUUUCCCCUCUUCGAUACUCCCUAUAGUUCUGCCACUAUAUCCAUCUAUGGAGUUUUCUUUUCUCUACUGACGCAGUUUCAACCCCGCAUGUGUGCAGAGAAUCUGAUCAGCCAGGAAUGAGAAGAGAGCUCAGUGUAAAAAACCCUCAUUCCUAAUCCAAAUGACCUAAUCGUUCAUCUAUCUGCUCGCUGCUUCCGUUCCCCCUCUCCACACACACACACGCACACACACACACACACACACAUCUAUUGCCUGAAGACAUUUUAUGAGCACAUGUAUGGCUUAGGAGGAAACACUCCUUUUUGAAAUACGUUAUAGAGAGAGCGUGCGCUGUGCUUGCGCACGCUUGUGCCCAUUGAAACCAGUACCAAAGUCCCCAGCCCCAAAUUCCCCACUCCGCACAGGGACCGUCCCUAACCCUGCCAGACGCACCAGCUGAAGUCAGCACAAGAAAAGGGUAGGGAGGUGGGGGACAGGGAGGUGAGAACCCUGAACCAUUUGCACUGGAAUUUCUGUUUAGGAAAGUCCGUGCUUAAAUGAAAGACUGAUACUAGAUACCACAAAGAAACUUUUAUUUCUGUAUGCAUAUGACUCAUAUACAUUUUCUGUGUGGGUUAUGUGGGUUAUGUUAUGUUUCAUCUUAAAAAAAAUAUAUGUUUCAAGGAGAUUUUUAAACAUUAAUUUAAAGAAAAAUGUAAUAUGUUUAUGUACAGUGAUUGUUUUUAAUCUGCCUUUUAUUGCACAGCACUACAUAGAGCAAGUUCCCUAAUGCGUUAUUAUUGUACGGUUUGCAUUAAUAAACACAACAAUCAGCAGAAAUAUUUAUCCUAAAUAAUUUCCGUGAACAGCUCCCAGAAAAGUUUACUAACUGAGCCUUUUGGCAAAACAUACCUUCUUGGUUAUUUGGUUAUUUUCUCCUCCUUUUCUCACUUUCUUGAUUGUGAAAAUAUAUUUUCUCAAUACAUUACUGACAUAAAGGCAAUAUUUUAUGAAGCAAAUGGUAGCUGCUGCUGUGCAGUAUUUCAGCAGAGGAAGGCUAUCCAGAACAGCCUCCGAGACUGAACACUGUCGCCAUUAUAACAAAAGCAUUAAAAUGAAUAAUUCAUGAGCAGAGGGGCCGCUCUACUAUUAAAAGGCACCAACUAUUUCAUGAAUUGUCCAAAAGCUAUCCUUUCUACUGCACAGUUCCUCCAACUACUUUGUUACUCUUUAUUAUUCUUCACUUUUCUUAAAUAGCACAAAGCAAUAAUUAACAGAAACCAAAGGAUCUGUGUUAGGAGAUUUUCCACAGGAGUAAGACAUGAAAGCUGAAAGUGAGCCAGAAGGAAAACAAAUGUGUUUAUAUUUGAUGAUGGAUCUAUUAAAGGGUGGAGGAAACAGGACUUCAACAGACUUCUCUGAACUGCUCUUUCUGAUCAUGAAAAGGAAGAAUGCAGCAGUAUGUCCUUUGCCUUUAUUUGGGACCUUCCCUUUCAGGAUCCCAAAGCGUCGUGACAACACACUCAUGAAUUAAAAGGCCUCAUUAGUGAGCACUUGCAGAACUUACUCUUCUCCUGCUUACAGCUGCCGAACAUAAAGCCUUAAGAAGACCAAAUGAUUUUCUCCAGUUCACAGAGGAAGGCUUGGAGAGUGAGCUAAGAAUAGAGCUUCAUCUCCUGCUUAACAGUCCCAUGUCCAACAAAAAACUUCCUUGCUCUACACUAAUGAGUAGCACAGUGUUAAAUAAUUCUGCAGAUAGAAACCAGUUUUAGCACCCCCCAAACAAAACAAAACAACUGUGGUGCACAGGUAAUUUCUGCAGGGCUAGGGAAACAAUGUGAUCCACUAAUUCAACUUUACCCCAGAAUAAUUUACAAACUCAGGCUCAGAACAAACUUUUUAAAAGAACUGAGGUUAGAAUAGCAAAGUACAUCUAUACACGUAUCAAGUGCUGCAUGAAAAGCACGUACUGUGCCUGCAAAGAGAAUAUUUAUAAUAUAUAUUUUCAAACUUUAUAAGACUUACAGCUUGGUGAUGGGUGAAUGGUUGGACUGGGUGAUCUUACGGGUCUUUUCCAACCUUGGUGAUUCUAUGAUUACUAAAAACAGGUACACUAACAUCGAUAAACAACUAUUUCACUUGAACCAAAUCUAUUCCUUAAAAGAGAGAAAUUCAGGGAAUUGCAUGUCUAAGCAAUUUUGCCAGUGUGAUGCCAUUCUACAAUGUUGAGCAAAAUCCAUAAAAAAUAUCUUUACAUACACAAGUCCUAUUCUCCUUUUAGGUUUUCCUACUGUCUUACAGUAUUAGGAUGAAAUCAAAUCCCAAGUAUCUCACUGCAGUAAGUUUACUGAAUACAUGGAAGCAAGCCUACUGUAGUGGCACACAAAAACAUCUCCCCAAGAUAGAACAUAAUGGGUGGAAUGGUAACAGCAGGUGUAGUUUUGCAGGAACAGACACUCACUAGUAAACUUCCAAUACACUUAUUCUAAAUUAGUCAGCUUUCUUGCAGAGCCUUGGUAAGUAUUUCCCUGAGUGUUUAUUUCAAAAUUCUAAUUAUCAAAAGGGCCUUUUCUAAUACCAACAGCGUCUACUUGAAAAAAGAUGCUCUUCUGAUCUAGUAUUAGAUUUCUGUUGUGCCAAAAAUUUGUCCUUUGGUCAACUCAGAGCUGCUCCCACAGCAAGUCCUUACAGGAAUAAGGAAAUGAUCUUCAGCAAUUAGAACAAUCUGUACAGUUAAACAUAUUUUUAGUUUGCAGUCCCCAAGGAACUGUGGCAAAAACUGAACUACAAAAAAAAAAUUAAAAAAAAAAAAUUAAAAAACCCCACACUUGUCUGUUAGGUAUAAUUUAUACAGCCCAGCUUACAGUGAGCAGGUUCACUGCAACUAAUAAUUAUCUCAGUGCUAAUGACCAUUAACGGCUUGACAACUGUGGCAGAAAAUAAAGAGGACAAAAAAUCACAACAUGCUUAUGAAAACAAUUCAGAGUUUGUCUUCUUCAACACAGCCAUCUUGAAUCAAUACACAGGAAAAAUUUUCUGUUGAUGUAAACAUGUCUGUCCACCAAACCAGCAACCUCCACCAGGGAAUUCACACUACGGAGUCAGUAUCUAGCCAUAGGUGUUCUGGAAAUCAAAUAGAAUCAAAAAAAUAAUUUCAGAGAAAACAGUAUCGGAAGAGAAAGAUUGCCAGUGCUUCUAUCUGGAGAUAGGUGAAAACAAAACAAAACAAAAAAGCAAAGCAAAAAGCUUUUUUCAGUCUCAGUGUCCAUGAUCAGGACAAGAAUUCCAAGUGUAAGGAAGUUAAUUGGGAUUUUGGCACCUAGACAAUCAAUGAAAGCUGGAUGAGAAGAGACAGAAGUAGAAUUUAUUGUACACUUUGGUACAAUAAUAUUCAUCAAACUGGUACAUUGGUCAGUAUGCAUGACUGUCUCAAAACUACAUUAUGGCUCUAAACAAGAAUAAAUACAAUUAUUACCUUACCAUUACUUUGAUGUAUAAUCAAGUGCAAAAGAAGAGGUUAAAGAAAUCGGAGGGAAAAGAACUGUCCAACAACCAAAGAAUACUCCGUCUGAUCACAGUAUGCCUUAAAGUCACAUCAGACAAUACACACAAGUUUUUAUCUAGAAAGUUUUGGUAUUUGAAUUUUAAACCUUGCAUAAGGAAAAAGUGCUUUAUGAUAAGGGUGGUGAGGCACUGGCACAGGCUGCCCAGAGAGGUGGUGGAUGCCCCAUCCCUGGAGACAUCCAAGGUCAGGCAGGAGGGGCUCCGAGCAACCUGAUGUAGCUGUAAGUGUCCCUGUUCAUUGCAGGAGGGUUGGAGUGGAUGAUGUUUACUUGUCCCUUCCAACUCAAACCAUUCAAUGAUUCUAUUAGUUACUUCCAACUAUCUCAUAAUUUCUAAGAGUCUGUAAGUUGAGUAGACUGAUCUUCUGCUGUUGUGCUGGCAUACUAACUAUUGUUAGUAUGAGAAAGUAAGCCUUUAGACUAUGCAAUGCAGCAUAAACACAGCAACUAGUCAGAGGCCUUCCAAUACUACAGAGGGACAAUACAACCAUUAUUUAAGGCUCUUAAAAGAAAACUUAUAUACACCAAUACAUAAAUCAAUGUUAGAAAUUACAAAAAAAAUUAAAGGAAAUUUCAAGGGCUAAAACAGUGAAGGACAGCAGAAUGGUAGUUCCUACCAUCUUUAUAAUAAAAAAAUAUAGUGGAGGAGGUGUCUCACCACAACAACAAAACCAGAGAAUCACAGGAUAACUGAGGUCGGAAGGAACAUCUGGGUCCAUCUGGCCCACUCCCUGCUCCAGCAGGGAUACCCACAGCAAGGUGCCCAGGACCACAUUCAGGCAGCUUUUGGAGAUCUCUAGGAAGGAGAUUCCACAGCCUCUCUUGGAAAUCUGUACCAGUGCUCUGUUACUUGCAGUGCACAGAAGUGCUUUCUGAUAGUCACACAGAACCUCCUGCGUCCCAUUUUGUGCCCACUGUCUCUUGUCCUGGUACUGGGAAUCACUGAAAAGAGUCUGGCUCCUUCUUCCUUGUACCCUCCCUUCAGGUUUUCAUAGACAUGGUUGAGAUCCCCCCAAGCCUCCAUUUCCCCAAGCUGAAGAGUUUCAGCUCUCUCAGUCUUCUUCCCAUUCAAAGUGCUCCCUUACUGAUCUUUGUAGCCCUUUGCCAAGCUCUCCCCAGUAUGUCUCUCUUGUACGGGGGAGCCCAGAACUGGACCAAGCACUCCAGGGGUGGCCUCAUCAAUACUGAGUAAGAUCACCUCCCUCCACCUGCUGGCAGCAAUCCCCUUAAUGCAGCCCAAGAUAGUAUCAGCUUACUUGGCAGCAAAAGAGCAUUGUUGGCUUUCAUUCAAGUCUGUGUCUACCAGGACCCUCCAGAUCCUGUUCUGAAAUAGCUGCUUUCCAGCCAGUCGGGCCCCAGUAUGUACUAGUGCCAUGGGUUGUUCUUCUCUAGGUGCAGGACUUUGCACUUCUCCACGUAAGUCUUUCAGAUAUACAGGUUUCCCAAGAAGUUAUAACAAGAUGUGUAUUUUGACUAAGGUGCACACUGCUUUCAUUAACAUUAUUAUUUUUUUUACUUUUAGCCAUCAGGCUGGACUUCAUGAAGUAGGGCUUACUUUCCCUCCUUGACAGGAAAUCCUAGGUUCAGCACUCUUUCCUUCUUCUCAAAUACCAGAGAUAUUUCUUAGAGUAGAAAAGGUAAGAUUUUCAUGACACUUCAUUUUUAUAAUCUUGACACUGUCUGACACUAUCACAGUUUUUCAGAUUUUGGGAGAAAAAAAAAAUGUAAAACUUGUAUAUACUUAAAAGUAACAAUUUUCUUAGGAUAUGCGUUUUUAGGAUCAUUCUGUGGUGCCUUUAAACAGAGCAGAAGCAGCAACUGAUUCUGAUGAACUUGCAGCAUCAUAUUGCAGUCUCUGAAGUGUCAAAUUGCCAUAGGAAGAAGUUAAAGGAAGUAGAAAAUGUUUUCUUUUGGGCCUCAUUAUCAAACAAUUCACUGCUAAAUGGGCAAGCUAGGUAUAAAACGAAGAACUGCACUGAUAGAAAAAUUGUAACAAUAAAUUUUCUUCAGACUUUUUGGAUGCAAUUCUGUUGCCUCAGUACAAGUCUGUGUUACUGUCUGAAAUACCCUGUGUGUCACCUGGCUUCCUACAAGCAGCCCUCCAAAUUCCAAAAAGCUCAAGCUCUGCACCAGACCACCUAUGUGGGUGCUACAGCACCUCAAAAGAGCUAGACAAUUUCCUUUACAAUCCCAUCCUAAACAAUCCCAUCCUAAACACCCCAAAUGACAAAUGUGACUCUUGUUCAUGCCCGUACUUAAAUACAUUGUGUGAUAAGUGCGUAUAAAGCAACACUUCGUGUUGUGAAACAAAAAUAAAUUAGACCACAGAAGACAGAAGCCAAGAGUGACAGCACAUUCAAGCUCCAUGCUCCAAUUUCCAAACAACUUCCUCCUUUUCUCCUUACUGCAGUAAUCCUUUCCAUCAUAAAGGAGAACACAAUCUCUGUGUUCACUCGAGUGGAUACAUCUCCUGUACCAAAGCAAGAGCAAUAAACUAGGCACUAUAAUUUAACACGGAAAAGGGGCAUAUAUAGGCCAUCUUACUACUACAUAAACAGGGAAACUAACAAGGCAACCUAGUGUCUUCUCCUGUAGCACAUAGUUCAUUGAGAACCCUUCAAAUACUUACACGGCAAGCACAUCAGCCAAAACGUGACAGGGUCCUACAACUGCAGCUCAUACCACUAAUGAGAUUCUACAGAAUCUGUCCAACAAAAAUAAUUAUGUUGCCAAUGCUUGCAUUUUCCUCUCAUCUUACUCAGCGUCCUCCAAAUGUUCAAUUGUUUUUUCAUUCUUUACCUAUAUUUAUGACCUUUCUAAUUAAACAUAAGAAAGGUGAAAAGUAUCAUCACCAUCAACACUCUUUUUAAAACAAUAAAAAGCAGCUCCAGACCAACAGGUCUAAAAUAAAAAGACCAACUUGACCAUUUGGCUCAGACAGGCGCAGGGAUAUCAGAGUUCUGAACUGACUACUCAGGUACUAGAAGCAGGAUGAGUACACUGGCACAUAUUCUGCUUUCUCAAGAAGGUCAAUCAAGGAACAUGGUGUCACUGAUUACUGAUGUUUCUUUUGCAGUGUUAUCAUGGCACACUGGAGCUCCAGGCUCUUGGCAUUUUGAUCUUCUAUUUGACACACGGUACUAGUUUUGUGAUUGUGGCAUAAACGGAUAUCCUCAAAGCCUUCUUUGGGGCUUAAUGGCUAUUAUGUCACUUGCCUGCAAGUAAUCUCAUUUUGUUGUAGGUAACCACACAAACGAAAUAGGACAAAAAUAUCUUUCUCAUGUCUGAACUGUUCCUAUGCAAGUCACUGUUUGUUUCCUGUAUAUAAAAACAGGAAGACUAUUUGUCCCCUAUGUGUUUGCAAGAGCAUCUGCUCAGUAUUUCUUACCAUACUAGUGUUUUGUGAUGGAAUCUCAAACAAUGAUAAUAUUCAAAACGAAAAGGUUUGCAGUAGUUCCCAGUGGGAGAAGAGAAAAAGGGAGAUUUCAGGGGCUCCUCGUCUAUUUUCUUUCUCAGUUUUAGCUCGCCAGGAUUAUUCACAACAUCAAAAACUUACAAGCAUAAACAGAGACUGAUGAUGACCAGAAAUCAGCCACCACCAUCUCCACACUUGCUCUACCUAGCUUAUGGCUAGGUAUGCACAAGAACUUAUGGCUAGUUCUGCACAAGAACUACAACUGCUUUUAUCAGUGCUGUAUCUAAAUAUAUAUAUAUAUACAAUGACAACAACAACAAAAACAUGUUACAUAAUAUAUACAAAUAUUUUUUUAAGAAAUAAAUUAACGCUUCACGUUCUCUAGUCAUGGAGAAACUGCCAUGAAUUUUUGCCUCGAAAAAGUUUCAACAGCUUAAUUCAAAACCUUACCCUCUACGAAUGUGAGGCAUUAAUUAAAAUUCAAAUAGUUUGCUCACAGUUUUCAUGGCUAGAAGCCGAACCUUUUCAAUAGCAUGUCACUAGCUAAAUCAAGUCCUGUUUAAUUUAAGAAUCAGAGGAAAACAAAAGAAAGGGAGGAACCUUAGCAAACUGAAUGAAAGCCAGCUUUUAAGCAAGGUUGUAGAACAAGAACAGGGCAAGGAGAAUGCAAAGGAGUUUUCAGUCCCGUGGAGUGUAAAACUUGCUCAUGCUACUCUUCAAAUAUAAAGUUCAUUACACCUAAACAAUAAGACUGAAGACCACAAUUUGCAUGGAGAUUACCUCAAUUCCUUUCUAUAUCUGUCUUUCAGGUUGUUAUCAAGAUGGAGGUACACACGGAUUUGCCAAGUGCUAACAUUUUAGAACAUUUUAAAACAAUCUAAAUCAGGUAAAAUUUAUCCUGGCAUUUGUAUUCCUGUUUUUUUUUGUUGGUGGUGGUGUUUUUUUUGUGUGUGUGUGUGUGUGUGUGUUUUUAUUAAAUAAUUCAUGAGGCGAUAGGCAUACAAGUCUGUAAAAUACUGGUACAUCUAAAAAUGUAUGAUGUGCAGAAAACUGCCUUAGUGUGAAGCUGAACACUCAAAAGGCAUACGAGGCCAAGCUAAAGGACAUUUGUGCAGCCUUAAGUCCACCUUUCUUUAUGUUUUCACAUAGCAAGAUACAGUCUUCAGAUAUGGUUCAAAACCUAGAGCUUUUUCUUUUACAGGUCCAUCCCAUUCAGUACACAAGAUCAUUAGCUUUUCAUUCAACAAGCAAAAUGAUAUUUUGGUUUAUGCUGCUAUUCACUACAUGGCCAUAAACCGCUGUAUCCUAUUUCACUCCAACUCUGAGCGGCAAACUUCUUCAUAGGCUUGUAAUCACUGUUGGUACACUGUGAAAAUGACAUCCAUAAUAUUAAUGAGUACCAUCUUCCUAUCAAAAAAAAAAAAAAAAUAGAGGAAUGAUCUUCAUUUCAUACGUUGGGAGUUGUGGUGUAAAGAGAGUAAGGCUUAGAUAGACACGGUUAGCGGUGGUUACAUUUAACCUAUGGCAAAGAAAACAAGAAACAGUACUAGAUGACAUUAGCAGGCUAAAACUGUAAAUUGCAUCAGUUCAGCAGCUGAUUCAAAAAUACCUCAGCUCUCCUCACAGCAAGAUCCUGCAAAAGCUCUCAGCUCAGAGGAAAUCAUCUCUGAGCAAGCUGUCUCCAGCCAGGAGUCAGAGACCUUCAAAAUGCAGCUACUGCUGACCUCACUGAAGGGAAAAGACUGCUGAGCACUACCAGUAACUGAGCGCAGUCAAACACUCCCAAAACAGGGCGUAAACAAGUAGGGAAACCAGCUUUUCAGUAGUGGUGAGGAUGUCUCUCAGACCGCUAUGGCAGAAGCAGGCAUUGCAACCAGCUCUCCUGGGCAGCAUUUCAUUGCCCUUCUCUUAAGUCAUCCUUUCUUUCCGAGCUUUCCUCAUUCACCACUUAUCUUUCAAGGUCUGUGGCUGUCAAAUUUGAUUCAUCUCCUUACAAAUCCACCUGAUUUAGUGAGUGGAGGAAGAAGUCUUGUGGAAUAAAUAUUAUAUGAAUAUGUAACUAGAUCCUCUGCCACAGAUACAUAAUCAGAACUACAAUGAACUAAGAUAGCACUGCCAAAAUUCUGACUGUAGGUAAUUUUUUAGCAUCUGAUUUAUUACCCUAUUAUUCAACCUACUUUUAUUCAGUAUAUUUUUAAAGUCAUAAGAAAAAAUAUAGAACACUUUCAUAGGAAAGUGGCCUGAUCACAGCACAGACCUCAUGAGUACAUAUUACGGACUUCCAUUAUUUGCACCAUCAUUUGUUCCAUCAUUUGGAGGGACUAACUACUGCAGCAAGGCGAUCCCUUCUAUUUAAGCUAUCAUUUUGACAUUGGGUCAACUACAGAAAGCAGGCGGCAAACAACAAGAGACAGUAGCCCAUGCUCAGAAAUAUUUGGCUCUUCCAUGGCACAAAAAUGUAGUUGAUUUGCACACAACUUUUGACUCAUUUCCUCAAUCUUGAUGUUUCUGCUUUCAGAAGUUUUUGGCUGGUUUUUUUUUUUUUUUUUUUUUUUUUUUUUUUUUUUUGCCAUAGAAUAAUUGUUCUUCAUUUACUCUUAAGCUUCCAAGCACUGACUCUCACCACUGUAACAUUCUCCUACCUUCUUCUGUCACUCAUUCCAUUUCAGUCUCUAGUGCCUCAGGUUUCUAAAUCCCAGUUACCAUUCCUUUCUUGGAACUUCUUGUUUACACUUUCCAUUUACCUAUCCAAGGGACCUCAUCUCAUCUCCUCAGUUGAUCUCAUCAUAAUAGUUGCAUCUCCUUCAUCUCCUCCAUAUCACGUCUUUCUCCCAGACUUCUGAGUUUUUGUCUCACUGCCCUUAUACAGAGAAACUCCAGCUCCAGUAUACAGCAUCCGUCUGAAGCGUGCUGUCCCUGCUGUGUACUUCACACCGCAUCUUUUGUGUUCUCUGCAUACAAGUCUGGAAUUUUCUAACAAAGCUGUAAGAUUAUUUUAGAAAGGUUUGUUGUUCACAGUUGUGGUAGCCAGGGUCUGCACUACUAGAUGCUGCAGAUGAUUUCCAUGUUCAGGUACCCACCCACUUCCAAAUUUCAUAUCCCUAUCUCACAGCACAGGUAAAAGAGCACUAAAACUAUGGAAAACAAUAAAAAAUAGCUGAACAUUUUUCAUGCGGCAAUUUAAAUCCUCCGUCUUCUUACCUUCAAAGAAACAUGCCCAAAGUUAAGUUGUGACAUGGUCAAUUUGUAUGGUGUGAUGGACUUACGCUCCAACAGAGAGCAGGCUCCUGUGAGCAGAGAUAGUCUGUCCCUCACUCUUUCCAUCCUUUACCUCCUACAGUGAUCAGUUCUGCUCCGUGCUCUUCAGCAUGGACAAGGAACUAAACCGACACACUACAGAGGGUCAGGUGCAGACCUUCGGUGCCAUUGUGUAGCUCAUGAGUUUCGUCUUAUAUGUGCAGUCCCAUCAGACGUAUUCAGGUGAACCGAAAUGGUGGGCCUACAAACGCAGUUAAACCAGGCUGCCCUCUGAGGCUGAGAUUCAGAUGAUGGGGCAGAGUGUACUGGGCACAGUUCAGUGCACACAGUCCGGAUGCAUCAGACUGUACCUCUUUUUAUAAACAUCAGAGGGAAAGGAGAGGGUCUUCUCCAAGAUUGAAAUGGGAACGCUGAGCUUUGUUGUGGUUUUCUGCUUCUUUCUUUUCAGGAUAAAGCACAGAGAGCUAAUUGCAAUUAAGUACUAUAGGGUGUCUACUAUAAAAAAAGGAUGCCUGCUAGAUGACUUUUACAGUUCAUAUUUACAGCACUCCUUCAAGCAGAUUUUUAUUAUAUAUUACAAUUCUUACUGUAUUUUGCAAUCAAUUUGUAUUACACGUAGUUUUGCAAAAGGCAGUUAUAUUACAGUUUUUUAGUAUACUGAAAAGCUGUCAAGAGUUUACAUGAAUUAAAUUAUUUUGGUAUAAUUACACUUUUAUUCUUUUUAAAAGAACUCUCAAUCGACUUCACCAGAAGAAAAAGGUCUUUUUGUUUUAAAAACAAAGAGAUGGAGCCAAAAUAUGCAAGAUAUUGUGCUGGCAUUCCACUUUAAAAAAAAUAAAAGCUAAGGGUAUUUUCGUAACAAAGCUUCCACAAAUUAUUCCUAUGGUAAUUAAAUCCUUCUUUGCUGGAAACUAACAAAAUGCCAUUAAGACCACAAGACAAUUAUUAUCUUUCAGUCUUUUUGCUUUCUAUAUAAUACAGUAUUACCUAAGUUUCAGCGAUUCUUGCUGCGCUAUCCACCUCUCCUUUAAAGAAAAUACUCGGUAACCAUAGCAAUACUUUCCCACCCUGGUAUUAUUUCCUGCUGGCUUGUUCUAGGCUUCUGAACGUAGCAACCACAGCAAUCCUUGUUCCAAACUGUCAACUUCUUCUUGGCAACUCUUCGUAAAAUUAUUGUAUCUAAACUAUCAAGUACUCAGCCGUACAUUUUCAAAACAAAAUUAAUACAUGUGGUCUGAAUAAAUUGUAUUUCAAUUGUAACUACUGUAUGUGAUAUUCUCAUGUCACAAACACUAUCAUCUGGAAUAUCAACAUCUAUCUUAUGCCCUUAUUAUUUUCCACAGAGCAAUGCACCAGUUUGUCCUUUGAGAAAAAACAAUGAGCAGCUUUACAACACUUUGCUAUUAUUCACUGAACGUUCACACUUCAAAUCUAUCCCAGUCUUAACUGAAACCAUGUACAGGAAUAUCAGCCAUACCUUCUAUGCUUGACUAGCUGAGCUUUGGCAUCACAAACAACACAGGUUCUGCAAGACCUUCGUCAUACUCUUUAAUUUUUACAUCUAAGAACUCAUAUAGCCCAUAGAAAACCAGAUAUGCACAGGAUUUGAUGACUGUGCUAUGUAUGGCUGAUGAUAAUCAUGUUCAUAAGCAGUCAUACUAGCAUGAUUUACAUGUUCAGUUCUUUGCAGAAGAAAGCACAUUAGAAGUUCAAGUCAUACAGCCUUAGACUCAUCAUUUUAUUUCACUACUCUUCAUCCUGUAACACCAUUAACAUCCCAGCUUUCAGUGGAUUAUCAAUACUCUUUUUGAUCACUACUUUACUGUAGAAUCUACAACUGAAGAGAUUUUUUUUUCCCCAUAUGACAACAAACUCACACAACCACUUAAGCUAAUGGAGAUCAAUUCAGUUGAAUGUCUUUCUAACAGCAAUUUAAUUUGACACACAAUAAUUACAACAAGAGUACUAGUAUGCUUUGAGAUUUACCUGUGCUUUGAUACUAAUUGAAUUAGUUUUCAUAAGCUGAAUAGUAAAGUACAGAAGGUCAAUAUCAGUGAUGCAGAAGAAAGCACACUUGGAGGCAACAGCAGAUUAUAAAUAUAUUAAUGUAUUAUUGCUCAUUCUCUCUCCACCUACAUUCUCAUCCCACUAGAGUCAAUAUGGCUUUUGUCAUUGGUAUCUAUGUCACAAUUUUACCCCCACUCCCUAUUUGUUGAUACGAAUCACCCAGCAAUAUUCUCUCAGUAUGUUCUCUGCAGGGGUAGUUCCACAGGAAUAAAUACAUAUGCAUGUCAAGGACAGUUACAGAUCACCUACUGUGAGAGGAGCAUUUUGUUACAGUGACAAUGGAUGGAAUCAACCACAGGAUACGGGGUAAGUAUAUAUACACCUCCUAUAUGUUUCCGAUAUGUGUGUAUCUCUCCCUCUCCAUAUAUAAAUGGGGGAUUAUUUGUGCAUGUGUACAUAGAUACAUGUACAUAAACAUGAGACACGUGUGUAUAUAAAACACUGAAUUAUAUGUGGAAAAUGAGACAUAUAUAUAUAUAUCAAACAAAUACUCACAUGGUAUAAUAUAAUUAGUAAAAGCUGACUAAAAACCCUAAUAAAUAAGCAAUAAGGUUAUUCAUUAAGUCAGCAGCAGCUACCUAGGUUUUUCUGAGUCUGAAAAGUUACAAAAGAAAACAACAGUGAAAAACAAUUUUUAUAAAAAGAUUAUUCCAGAAGGAGAGGUAAAUGUACAGAUUACUAUUCCAUGCCUAAUGUUUUAAAUAUAUUGGGCUAAGGCAUAUCCUAGCUAAAUGAUGCAUCAGCUAUCCAUAAACAUGCAAUUUUUUCUACAAUUACCAGUCAGCUGGUGUUAAACAGUAGAGAAAUAUACCCUAAUGAGAUGGGCAAAUAUGGGAGUAUUGGAUCAUAUUCUCAAUGAGGAUUUUUUUACUUCAUUGUUGUGUGCUUAUUUAUUUUUGUUUUGUUUUUUAAUGCAAGGAGUUAAGCAUUCAUAGAUGAAGAGAACAACAACAACAAAAAAGUUUGGAGAAGAAAAGAAAUUAUGGUGAUAUAAUUACUUCUAUAAUAACUGCUACAGAAAGGAAAAGAAAGACAAAAAUAUAUAUACUAUGUCAUAUUGGUAUUUUGCCUAGCAGAGAUAUGCGUUUAAAAGUAAUCUUCUUAAAAUGUACUUAGUUAAGCCUUCAUUUUAAAGAAGAGAGGAAAAAUUGAAGCUACUGUUUCCCAUGAUUUAGCCAUGAUCACCAAACGAACAGAAGAAAUACAGAAAAGAAGUGGUAAUUUUGUCUCUAGAAAGCCUCAAAAUCGAGGUUGUCCUAACUAUCGGAGUAGAAAAGUGCUCUAUCACUGUGCAGUAAAAUACUAUGUUGUAAUUUAUCAACAAUUACGCUCUAUUUAUGGAAGGAUUUUCACAAAGAAUCUUUCAGCUGAAAAUCACAAAUCAUAAGCAAAAUGGAGACAACUUCAUGUCCUUUUUACCCAAACCAACAGUAAUAUAUUUACUAAAUUAUAAUUCAAACUGUAUUUUUAAUGUUGACUGUGAGUACCGUCAAAACCAACUACUACUUUCUUUGCUAAGUUUUAUGAGAAUACAGAACAAAACCCAACUCUACCUCACCAUGAACUUUGCAAAAGCAUUGACUUUGUCAGUUUGUUAACAAGUCCAUUUAUGUUUUAUUCUGAAAUAAUCAAAUAUAUUCUUCCUUGCUAUAAAAGCUGUUUUGUUUUGUAUGUACACACUUUGGUUUUCUCAUAUCCUGGAGACGCUGUAUUCUAGAAGUCACCAUCGUCAUGCAGAAAAGCACAGCAUUCUGCUGAGUCUUCAUCCGAUUUACAUAAGAAACUUAGAGGGAAUGAUGCCACUGAUAUUAAUUUUAAUUUUUGAAAUUAUAAUUUAGUCCAUAACCUAAGGAAAACGUGCUUUAGCCAAGCCACAAUGAAAUAACUUAAAAAACCUUCACACUAAUUCAAUGGCAAAAUAAAAAAGGAAACAAAUAUUUUUCUACUGGAAAGUCAAGUGAUAGCAAUGUGUUUCACUAUUUUCUUUCUCUUCAGGAUAGCUCAGGCUCACACGUAUUUAGCAAAAUUUCAAAAAAAUUUUGUUACUAUUUUAUGUACAUCUUCUGCCUGUUCUAUAGAUAAAUCCUUAAUUACACUCUUUAUUCCUUACAUUGCUUCCAUUUCAUGUCCUUUAUUCAUGGUUUUGCUUUUGUGAAAUUUCAAGUUUAUCCUCUUUUUGUAGAGGAUAACUGCCCUGAGGUGUACUGUCUUUUGGAAGUCAUGAACAUCUUAUCUUUAAAAUCUCUGUGUUUUAUUUUGAAACUGCCAAAUAGUAAUGAGGUAAAGACCUCAUUACAGUGACACUUAAGACACAAUUUAAAUGCUUCCCCACAAGUUAAAAAUGAGUAUUGUUUUGGUGCUAGUCUACUCAAAGGAAUUCUUUCCUUUGCAGGUUUCUGAGGUCUCAGAAGACUCUCUCCAGUCUGCUGCAACUGGAUCUUGCAUGCAGACAGCAAAUGAUUCACUAACCACUGAACAAAAAGGUGUCAAAGGAACCAAAACAAACUUGAGUUCUGUGACAUAUCUCAGGUAUUUGGGGAAAUUAGAGAAUAUUCUCUGCUUAUAAAUUCAUUCUUUUCAAAAUAAAUAAAUUGUUUGUAUCCCUUUUUCUUUUUUCUUUUUUCUUUUUUUUUUUUUUCCUGGGAAUGUGUGAACUGUCUCUUACCCAGUAUCACAUAUAAAUUAGCUUCAAAAGAAUCAAAAAACAAAUCUAAGUAGAAGCAAGACACAGUCAUCUUUGGACAUACACAUUAACCACUGUAGAUUCAACGUUCAUGUUAGAAUGUAUUAUCACACAGUAUCCGAGUUUAUCAAUCCUGGCCUCAAUUCAAAUAUGCAGCUAGAUGCCUUACUAAGUGCUCAGCUAAAUUGAGCCUUUACUACCAUUUAGAAGUAACUUAAUAUAGACGAGAACUAUAGAUUAACUGAUGUAUCUAUUGUCUUUUUGGUUUCAAACACUUCUAUUUAAGCACAUGGCUCUUUGGAGAAUAUGAAUUGUUUGGGGGGUGGGUGGGGAAAGGAGCAAUUCAAAUACAGAACCAUUCCAGACCUCAAGCUGCCUGAUUUUUCCACUCUCGUGUCACCUAUUCAAUAGUUCAGUUUCACUGCCUAUUACUCUCUAGAAAGGGUUGUGACUUACACUGAAUUUCUUACUGCUCAUCAACUAAAACUGGCUUUGAAGGACCACGUGACUGCUGGAGUUGAUUUGGAAAUCUGAAAAAUAAGACAUAAACCAGCAUUUUGGUAGUUGGUCACAGAAAUAAUAGCUUCAUAAAAGAAAACUGUGGUGCAGGCAGCAGUGACAGAACUCAGUUCUCUUUUGUACCACCUGAUGUCUUAGCCAUGAGACCCUCCUUUGUCCUUGUCCAAUGCCCUAUGUCAUUUCACACCUUCCCACUCUUGUGACAAGAAGAAAUUUAGAGAUGAGGUGUUCCCAAAGCACAGUGCAUGCACCAUUAGAUAAAUGAAGGCUGUCCGCAUAGCCCAGCACCUCCUCUGAAACACAUAGGAAGUUUGUAUGAAGACAGGAACCAUCGCCAUGCUGCUAGCUUACAAAAAGGGUAUAAAUCAGGGAAAUCCCUACUUCCAGCGUUUUUUUAAGGGAUGGCACCAAACAUACAUAGCCCCAGAGGCUGUUGCUGUCAUGAGUGCUGCUGCCCAGAGGAAGGGAGCUGCAGAUGGAGGCAGCCAGUGGAAACCUCUGAGAGAAGAGGGUUGCCUGGGACAGCUGAAUGACUUUGGCAGUUUUGCCCAAGCUCAGGAAUAUCUGUGAUAAUCUCCUGUCCUACAUAUCUCCUACUCAUACCAUAACACCACCAUUUUACCGCAGGCAUGUUUAUUCUGGGAAAACAACAAAACUUACCAUUUGAUAUAAGAUUUUGCACUAACACAUACUUCCAAGAAAGCAGAGCUGCAACCUCAAUUUUAGCACUUCUCAGUGCUGGUUGCCUGGUUCUGCCCCCUUAACAUUUUUUUGAAGUGCUUUCUGUACCUGCAGAAUUUCUUCAGUUUUCAAGGAAAGAAAAUAACCAAACAAGACAGUCAAAUUUAUUUUUGUGGCAACAUAUUGACAACUGCACAACUGAGGGACAGAGUCAGAGCAUUAACAUUCAGCUCUGCUUCUUGAGACAAUUGAGUAGCAACAGUUUGUGGGGUAGACCUUUUCCAGUGCACCAACUAGGUGAGAAAGAGGAAUCAAGGAAUCUAGUGUUACAGUCAGCGUACUGGAAAGCAGCAACAUCAAACAGCUAAUGACCUCCCCAAGCUAGCCCUCACCUACUUGACCCCUCACCAGUCAUCUUGGCCUCACUGUUAGUCCAUCUUAACUUUUCCCUUUCUUGUCAUUACAGCAAGUCUGACCUUAUUUCUUGCCUGUUUUGCUUCCUCUACAUGACACAUGCAUCAGAACUACAGCCCAUCUUCACUCACUCACCUUCUGCUGCAUGGUGCUCAGAAGCCUGCCAAGGGCAUGGCCUUACCCAUGCUUCUCAUGCUCCAGUUGAAAUCAAUGGGAUGUACUGGUGCAUUUAUGAUUAAACACGCUAACACACAAUAGUAUGCAAAGUACUCUCACUCUGUCUUUCUUCAACCUCACAUGUUUUUUUAAAUGGGAUAGGCUUAGCUCCCUUUACCUACUGCCCCUCUCUGCCAAUCAGGAGACACUUCCACAAGCAACUCCAUAUUCACAACAUACAAUGUGAGUUUUUUGAGGCAGAAUAGAAGAAACAACCUCUUCCAAGUGGUGCAUAGUGCAGUUUUGGAGUUAAGUUGAUUACAUCUACUAAUGACAAAAGAAAAUGACUUCACAUCCCAAAAGAAGAGAGAGCAUGGAACAAAAUGUAAUGCAAGAACAACACAACUGAAAACAAAAAGAAAGACAUGCCAUUUUUUCAUAACAAUGCAGAUGUUAAGAUAUUGAACAUAUUUUUAGCGCAUAUCAGGGAACACAAAAAAGAAAACAAAAAUUUUGGAAUAGCAGUCUUAAUCUACAUUGCUACCCUAUUUUUCACAAUAUAUACAACAGCGUGAUCCCCAUUUUUAUGAAUAUAAACACACAGCUCUGAAAGAGAUUUUCUUUUUUUUUCUUUUCCCCUCCAGGAAAAUAUCACAUUUUUUACUGUUUUUAAACACAUAAGAACUGUCUACAGAAUUUUACCUGGAGCACCCUUUCAUUUUCUUCUGUUUUUCUGCUUUCAGAGGUCUGAACACUCUUGUAGAUAGACCUCACCUCAGUCACAACAAUGCCUGAGAUUUCAUACUCCCACUCUAUUUUUAGUUUUGAUUUUUAGUAUGCUGCACCUUUGAGUCUCAAAAACUCAACUCUAUGCAGCCUUUGCAAAGAAAUACAACUGCUCCUCUUUUACUGCACAUGACUUGGCCUUCUGCAUACACAACAAUAGACUAUGCAGCACAAGAAUAUCCAUUAUACCAUGAAAGCAGUAUUGCAAUUCCAAAUAAUACCAAACUGUAAGGUCCUGUGCCUUGUUCAGUGCCAUUCCAUGCCAUCUUGUCUGAAUACACUCUGUGCAAUGGACGCUGCUGUUCAUUUGUCUUUGCCCUUUCCUGGCUCCCCAUGACAAGACCAUUCUUUUGCUUUGCAUCUCUGCUCCCUCUCUCCAAAGAGCCAAUAUGAAGCACAAAUGAAGCAGGUGUGUGGUUUUUCAACUCCCCUGUCAAACAGAAAGUAGUUUUCUAGGGUAAGCAAUUUGAUACUCUAGAGGGACAGAUGAUACGGUCCCACUAUUCCCACCCUGACUCGAUUCUUCAGCAUUCAACACUUUCUUAAGAACUUGUGCUCAUGAAUAUCUAGCAAACUGGUGUAGUUGAGGAGCACUAACAACUCCCCCACCCCAAAACUCCACCCCACACUCAAAAUAAUUGUAGUGAUGUGGUGCUGCCAAACAUCAUGAUGCCUCAGCCUGUGUUUGUCCUGUCAGAGCCAAAAAAUGUCACCCUCCAUUAGUACAUGGAGGCUGCACAUCUCAGAGACACAAAACCCACAUGAGCACAACAUAAUCUACAAAAAUCCUGCAUGUUCCCUACAAGCAUCAUACUUCUUAAAGAUACAUUACACAACAGCUUGUAUUAUCAUCUCCUCUCUGAGAAGACAACCACAAUGAAAGAGCAGUUAUUGCUUUAGUAAUACACACCACUUAUAGACAGCUUCGGUGAUUCCCAGCAAAAACUCACACAUGAAUAAAGAAUGGAACCACACAAAACAGAUUAUUCUGGUGACCACUACCCAUAUGCAGGCAUGGUGUUUCCCAGGGAACAAUUUGCAGAGUGACAACAAAGGUGCUGCCAGGAAAACUGGAGGAGUAACAGGCUGCUACCUCCACAGCUUGCCUUAAAGAAGCUUUUGGGAAAGAGGAUCACAUGAGAAGCUCUGUCAAGCCCCGUAUAGACCUCAGAAGCUGAGCAGCUCUAGCCUCAGGACAUUGGACAAGGACACAGAGUAAGAGACUUGUGUGAAAAGAGUCUUUAAUCUGAAGCACUAUAGUCCAGUUUCUGGGAGAACAGCCUAUUAAAGGGAACCUCCAGACACCAAGCUUUCUUAGUAGCUACCAAAGUUAACCAUUGUUCCAAAACAUAAGGGACUGAAGUGUUUUAAAUGUGAGGUGAGCAGCUCUCUGAUGAUCUCCACUUGUCAACUGUCCAAAACAGAUCAAUAAUUGCAACUUUAUUCAUGCAAAGGGCAACAUUUCAUCUCACAUAGUAUGGGAAGAAAUGCUGUCUGCAUCUCCCCCCAAAUUUGUGAGACAGCUCUUCUAGGACUUUGCAUAGCUAAGGUUCUCCGGUACUUCUACCACUGCCACUGACAUCAUCCAUGACACAGAGACAGCAGGACAUACUGGACUACUUAUACUAGAGAACGAGCUUUGAGAGGCCUAGGUUUAGCCUGCCUAGGUUUAAUUACAGACUACCAGACACAGGCAUCAGAAAGAUAGGAAAAGUUCAAGAAAGAAAGAUGAAGGACCUGCAGAAAAGAUGAAUGCCUGCUUUAAUUUAAACUGACACUGCAUUUCCAGAUCAUUUCAAUAAUCCAGAACACUGGAAGAGUUAUUUGAUUUGUAAGCAGCACUGAGCAGUUGAAAGGCUCAGUAAAGUGGUUCUAUAAGUACAGAGCAUAACCUAUGAAACCUUGGUUUAAUACAAGAUGCCACACACCAUGGUGUUACUUCAUAAGAAAUCAUCCCCGAACAUAGGUUAUAUACUCAAUGUGAAAAGAAGGUAUGAAACAUCGAAUGGGAUCAGGAAAUUUGAUCUCCCCACUCACACUCAGAAGACCAAUUAUUACAAGCCAUCGGGCAAAAUGGAGCCUAGAUGACAAGCAAGGCAGCUCUGAUCCCUUCAUCUUCUCCAGAUGAACCUGGCUUUGCAGUCACCCAGCCAGGCUAGUUCCUGCACUUUAGCCCUAGGGCACCCCAGACAAGUCUCUGUAGGGGCUGAAGGUCACACAAGAAAGUGACAGCAGUCUAUAUGGGUACCUUCUAGCUUAAGAAUAAAACAAAUCUAACUUAAUGGAAAGAAAGACAUUGACUGCAAAGGGGCAAACUGGGAACAGGGAUGUUUCCAAGUUCCCAACAAUUUCUAGAGUUUGGGGGAAAAAAAAAAGUAAAUUUGAUCUAUUUUUUUUUACCCCCAUGUAAGAGGAAAGUACAGCUCACUGACUGAAUUGCAAAGCAUAAUGUUGAAUGUAAGUAAGCAUCCAUGUAGACAAACUCAUUUUUACAUAAUUAUGAAAUCAAGGAGUUAAAGAACAUACAAUGUAAGCCUGUUCUCUUAAUUCUCAUUCAGCAUAAUCAUAUCUAAAGCUCAGAUACUCUCUACAAGAAGAGAGUAUCUCCAAUCAAGCCUGGUAUUCCCACAAACUCUUGACUGCAUAAACAAAUAACAAACAGUAAAGGCAAAAAAUAAUGUGAAUGUAAGGUCACACUUCUCUAAGAACACAGAAAGUCGGUGCAUGGAUCACAGUUACCCUCACAAAGGUUUUAGGUCACUGAAGAAAUUGUUUCACAUGUGCCUUGUAAUGGUACAGCAAACAAGAACACUCAACAGAAAUAAACUUGCCAGUCUUUAUUCUUCAAUGCAUGCUGAGGUCAAUACUAUGAAACAGACAUUGGAACUGAGUCCAGAAGAUGCCACAAAAAUUGGAGAAGACAUACUGAAAGCCUAUGUGAUUUAAGGGAUAAAGACCAAGUCUCUUCAAGUGUCUGUAUAAAUAUGUAUAAAUGAUCAAUAAGGGCAAGCAACUGCUAAAGCACAGUAGGAAACAAAGAGAUGGAUUCUCUGUCAUCCUCUUAAUUUUUUGAAGAUAUUGAGCACUGCAGAAUCAUCACAGAGCAAGUUUUGCGUCCUGUGGUAUGCUGAUGGGUUUUAAAAGAGCAUACAGACAUUUCUGACCUUGAAAACAAGAUUCUGAGGGCUGUCUCAGGUUUUUAGCUGAACACUGAAAUCAAAAGAAAAUAUUUAACAUUUAAAACAAAUCAUAUAUUUCCUAUUAAAAAGAAACCACUUUUCAAGACAAAACAUUAAGACUGGGAAAGCACAAGCAUUUCCAAAUGCCAGGUUACGGUGAUAAAAUUUCUUAGAAAUAAUUUAAUUUUCUAUGAAAUAUUUUGUGCUCAUUCUGUAAUUGGGGAAAAUUCAUGUGAAGAUCAGUCUCACCUCCUACCAAUUAUGACCAAAAUAUUGCCUUUUACUUCCCAUCAGUGACACACAAGCACUGGCAUUUUUAUUUCAAAAUUUGUAUGUGAGGACAAAAUGAACAUAUUAGUAAAAGGUUGUGGUUAGUUAGGUAAACUCCCCGUGGUAAAUUUAGUUAUUUCCUGAUCUCACAACUUAGUAAGACAGGAAAGUCUUUUGCCAGUCUCUGCCUUCUCAAUAUAUGGCAACUCAUUUCAAACCAAAAAGAGAUACAAAAAGCUCCCCUCUUGCAAUGAAGUAAUUAAUCACUGUCUGUUAACAUUCUUUCCUACUCUUGUAUCAUUUUUAAAGGAAUUCCCCAAGUCUUUUUUCUUUACCUAGACUUUGGGUAUAGCAUUAAGCAAAUUAUUAAUAUUAAAUAAACAAUUUAAUUCUCAGCCUCACAAAAUAAUGCUUCUCUGCAAAUCUUCAUGAACUUCCACACCACCCUCAGUCCUCUCCCCCAGCAUACGUGGAAAAAUUAACACAAAAUGAAAAUACAAAACAAAAAAUGAAAACAUAUAUGGAAAUGUAGAAAAAAAAGUAUGUAAAAGAAUACCGAAGUUGCAAAGUGCAAAUAUUAAACCCACUCAGACUGAAAACUGAAAAAUGCUGUGAAGUUAAUCAGCCUAUCAUUUGGGUUUCUGUGGGAAUUAAAUGGGAUACAAAUAACAUGAGAAGUGUUACAAACGUGAUCCUGGAAUUCAGCUUUAAAAAACGCAGACAAACAGAUCUAAGAUAAACUUUCUGAAUUAGCAAACCAAGAGAAUGUAAAGGAGCACCCCGCAAAUGCUACAUGCAUUGUUCAGUAUUUCUUAUUCUACAGUACGCAAUUUCAAAGCUGAGAUACUAAUUUAUACUAAAAUUCUCAGAACUUAUGCAUUGUGAAAGACUAUAUAACCUUAGUAUCAUCAAACCACUGAUACAGUAGUAGCCUGAAAGCAGACAGUAUGAAGGGAUGAGUAAGAUGGUCUCUGAGAUCUCAAUGGUAGCUCUGUUUCAGUAGCAUUCUCAACUUUUUCCAGAGCUAGAAUGAGGAUGGAGAUACGCUAUGAGAAUGGACCUACAUUAAAAUGAGCUCACUAGCAACAGGUUUGUAACAGUACCACACAAUAUUUUAGCCCCGUACCAUCUUCAGGAGACUGUUGAAUACAGGUUAGACAGAAAUACAGAUUUUGGCACGUCAAAGCAAGGUGGAUUUUUCAGCACUACAAUAAAAGGUAAUUUCUACAUUAUGAAGCCUAUGACAUCAGCUACCACCUACUUGCAGAGCAAAUAUAUGACAGUCACACUGAAAAAACUGCUAAACACAUGGAGUUCUUCAAUUUCCAGUAGUGACUACAAACUGAAACACAACUCAAGCACUAAAAUGCUUGUAGCCUGUGUUUUGUAUAAAGUACACACAGUUCGAGCCGACAUAAAUACAUACACUCUACAAACCAAUAAAAAGUCAUAAUUCUCAAGCAUUCAUUUUAUUUCUCCUCUCCUGAUACAUCUAACUUUCAUGGGCAGGGAAGUUCUUCUUCACCAGUGACCAUAAAAACCAGUUUUGCUGCAGCUUUAAGAACUAGAAAGCUGCCUGUGCUCUUCAUUUACAGGAAUGUGGAAACAAUAUAUGGGAUUAAUUCGGCUGGCAUCAUCUACAGAUGAUGCUUUCUCUGGAGUGCAAUUCAGAAAAAAAAAGCCUAACUUGGAAACUCAGAAUUGACCUAGAAACCCCAAUAAUUUUCCAUUAGCCAGAGAGGAAACACAGUCAGUGUUCCUGACUUACGUUAGUGGAAUCAAUUUUUUAGAGGAGGAUAAUAAUGAACACUUCAGUAAAACCACCUGGAGAGAGACUGAACCUUGGUAGCAACAAAAAAAAAAAAAAAAAAAAAAAAAGAGAGAGAGAGAGAAAGAAAUAAGAGUAAUUCAUUUAUUGAAAUAAAGAAGAGAAGCUUCCUCAUAAUAGUCUUGGAAUAAUACAUGCUGGCAAUGGAAAAGGUAAAAGAACAUUUGAGACUAGAGUAGGCAAGAGAAAUACCUACAAACUUCAACGCUAACACAGCAGCAUUUCAUUCAUGACAUAACCAAGAAAAGACAGAACUAUCACCCAAGGAAAGUCCUGUUCUACUUAAAAAACAUUCAGACUAAGAGAUGAAACUUUCUACCAGCUCUGUAUGAAACAGAAACAAAACAAACAAAUUUAAGGGUGAAAAUCCAUAGCAUUUUCUGAAUAAAAUAUUCCCUAGUUCAAAUUUGGACAAUUAGAUGGACAUAUUUUGACAGAGUGUGACCACUGCGGAAUAACAGGGAAAAAAACAACCCAGGAGAGCAGCUAACAGAUUUCAGAUGAAAAACUGGAAUCAUAUAUUAAGACUCACUUCACAAAACUUUUAAAGCAACAUUUUUCAUAUCCCAGUAUUUGGUCAUCGUACCUUGCCUGGUUCAUCUUUUCCAUUUUGAUUGUACUCCCUAGGCCUUUUGAUCAAUUUGUGCCGCAAUCUCAGACUACAUAAACCGUGAAGAACCUAAUGAACAUGAAAUGUGUGGAGGUAAAGAGAACCACACCUACCAUUGGACCUCUACUGCUACCAUCAACAUUUUUGCCUGAGUACCAGCAACCAUCAAGAUACCUAACGUUUGUGCAUUUGAUAACGGCUACAUGUUUUUCUUUCUUAAACUGCAUUAUUUAAACCAUAACACUUCCAAAAAGCCUCACAGCUAAGUUUUAUUUAAUUCUAACUCCCUAAGAAUUUUUCAGCUUCACAGCUUUGUAUCAUCCAUAGGCUUGAUCAGCUCUUCACUAUAUUCCAAGGUAUUACAUAAUUAAUGAGAAGUAAAUCAAAAGGAAAUUUCUAUGAGAUGCAACUUUUUUUCCUAACUUCAAUCAUUAAAAUGAAAUCAAAGUAAUUACUGAACCAGUCAUAAUUCAUGAAUAGCUCAGUAAAGUAUUUAAGCAAUUAAGUAAGUAGUCCAUUUGGCUUCAAAUUCAUAUGAGCUUUCUAAGAUUUGCUGAAUCAAGGACCUAACAGCUUCUUGGAAUGACUGCUACCUACUAAAUAUUUCCAAAUUCUUUAGUAAGUACCACUACCACUCUCCUCCAUGCCCCAGUUCUAUAAAUGCAAAGCAAUCCUUUUUCAGGUUGAAGUUUUUCAGGGUCUGCUUGUGACAAAACCAAACAACAACAGAAAAACGAAAAAAGGAGAUGGUUCAAAUUAAAAAAAAAAAAAAAGCCUAUUUUCACUGAAAAACAUUGUGAAAGAUUCACAAGAUCUUUCUGCAAGAAAUUCAUGACAUUAUUUUUUGGCUCCAUAGGACAAUACUGAAGCUCAAACUUGAAAGUUAGAAUUUUAAAUAGAAGAAUCUCUCAAUAGCAGAGCUGUGGUUUCCAUCCAAAAGAAACUGGUCCUGAUUUAACAAGUUUAAGAGCUCUGGAAACAAAACAUGAUAGAGCAAAUGAAAUAGAACUCUUUACAGAAACCACCAGGACUUCAAACCCUGAAGAGUCUUAUUUACAUGCUUAUCUUCUUUCACGUUAAUCAUGAUGUCCCACUUAACUUUAUGUGAGAAGUGAAUACCUCUAUGAUGGAAUUCACAAACUUUUGCAUGUUGGAGUCUAAGUAUGUAGCUAAAAAGUGACAUUUGGAAGAGUUCCAAAAAACACCUCUGACUUUAUACCAACGAGACGAGAUCUCCUCUCAACCGCUCAGCAAUUCAAAUAACUACUUUGAAUUCACAAAAUUACAUCUAAGUAGCAAUUUUUCUUUUUGUAAUGUUCACAUACAGACCAGAUUCAAAUAAAAAGGGAGUUUAUGGUUCUGGUUUUGGUCUCUACAUCCUCAGCAGCCAUAAUCUCUAGUGAUAAUGUAAAAAAAAAAAUUGAAAAAUACUCCUGCAAUUGUGGCAGAAACAGACAUGGAUUUGCACAAGAUCAUAUGGACAACGUUCAGCAGAUCUCGCAUUAUAGCUGGACACAGCUGUGGAUUACUGACAGCCUUGUGAAGUUAAAGUUAGGAACCAUAUGUCUGAUGAAACAGGAUGAGAAAACAUACUACCCCUGCACAGCUGCUGUCCCUGGGUACUGCACUUCCUUGACAGCCCACCUUACUGGCAUCGGUCCCAACACAGGAUGAAAGAGAAAUCUCCACUAAGACAUGCACUACUGUCCCUAAUUGAUGGCAGGUUGAUCCCCAACCAAUGGAAGCCAGAGUCACAGAGUUGAUAGAUGGUUUCCUUAUCUAAGUAAUGAGAAGAGCUAGGCAUCAGAAGAACAAUCUAAAAUGUCCAUGCAAAGCUGGAAACAAUCUAGGUCUAAGUGCCUAAAAACCAACCUCAAAUCUCAUCAUAGCUUUGACCCAGUACUAUAGUCUAGGGCCUUACUCCUGCCUGUCAUCCAGAACCCAAAACCACCUCCAGUUGCAGCAAGGAGGAUGGUGGUCUAUCUUCUCUGGUGAUGAGAGAUAAGACACAAGGAGACAUGCUCAAGAUGUGCCAGGGGAAGUUUAGACUGGAUAUCAGAAAGAAUUUCCUCAUGUAGGGAAACACAGACUGGCUUGAAUUGGAAAGAACCAUAAAGGACCUCACCUAGACCUGUCCCCCCAUGCUGUGGGCAGGGCUGUGAUCUAUCAGCUCAGAAUGCUCAGGGCCCCAUCCAAACUGGUCUUGAGCACCUCCAGGGAUGGGGCAUCCAGGGCUUCUCUGGGCAAUUUGUUCCAGUACCUCACCACCUUCUGAGUAAAAAUUUCCUCCUACUGUCUAAUCUAGAGAGAGGUGGCUAAGUGUUGGAGUGCGCUGCCCAGGGAAAUGGUAGAGUCCCCAUCCUGGAAGAUAUUUAAGAGAUGUGUAGGUAUGGCACUAAGAGAUACAGUUUAGUGGUAGGACUCUGUAGGUCAGGCUGAUGGUUGGGACUGAUGAUCUUGAAGGUCUUUUCCAACUUAAAUGGCUCUAUGAAUUGUACCUGUAUUCAUUGCUCCCACAGAUGAGCUAAACUCUCUUCAACUGGUCUGAAGGGAAAAAUGGGGAAGUAACUCAGCUGCUUCCCUGAUAGAACAACCUCUUGCCAGCAGCACAGUCACAAAAUAAGCCAACAUCUUUACCUAUGGUAACCUGCUCUUCUAGUUACCAUCUGUGGGUCAACAACCUUGUCUUUCAUACGCUCAACAGAAGCUGUACAGCAAAGAACUGGAUCACAGAAAAGUGAGAGCAAGUGUAGCCAUUACUGACCUCUUGGCUACAGCACUAAUACAGAGAAAUCAGAAGGUUCUUUUGUCUGCAGGUUUUUCCAGCAGUCUGUUCACAGGGUCAUUCUGUAUUAAACCAAGCGUGCAAGGGAAUUUGUAAGUUACUUAUAUGUAGUCUGAGAGAUCAGGAAGCAUUCAACAGAACAAUCCUGUUCAAAAGCAUCUUAACUGUACUCCACAGGCACUUUCACCUUUACAAAUUCCUAAUUUGAUAUGCAAAUGCCCACAUCAGAAAGUAACUGCAAUGACAUUGGUAAAGAAGUUGCCAGUACUGGCUUGGUCUCUGUUAUCAAUCAUACGCUCAUUUAUUUUGUGAGGUAAAAUAUGUUGAACCAAACAACCCUCAUAAGGCAUUUCUCACCAGAAAACUGAUGCAGCACAUUACCACUUUAGUUAGCCCAACCUUUUCUCACUGAACACGUGAAAUAAAAACAUCUUUGAACUUUCUAAAGUGGCCAGAUUUGAGUUAAUGUUAUGUCUACAUCUUUCAUACACUACUAAAUAUUCACUGGAAUAGAAGUUACCUGUGGGUAGAGAGAAGGAAAGAGGGAGAUGACAUUUAAAAGUUUCAGGAAACAAUGAGAUAAGUCAAAAUAAACAAUAAAGUAUAAUAUGUGGGCAUCUGGAUGAUGAUUAACAGUAAAACCACAAAGUAGGGCUGGGGGAAAAAGCAGAGAAAAAAAAUGUAAGAGAAGGCACAUCUAAAAGGACAAAAAGUGAUCUGCAAUAAUUUCAUCCCCUUAAACUUGCAGACUUGCAUUUCAGGAACCAGCAAGACGCAAGGCUGCAUAAGAUGAUGUCAGAAGUACAUCUAUCCCCAGCCACAGGGUUCAGCAGAGACCUGAUAAGCAGUUGUUUAGUUUUGCUUUGGGCUCUGGCUUCCAUUUUAUCUACAGUUUCCUAAGAGUUUACAGCUUCAUUUGUGAGCAACACAGUCUUUGUAUAACUGAAAUCUGAGUCAAGGACAGCAUGUGACUUUCAUUUUGACUUCAGAAUUAUUUUUAUUAUAGAGCGCACAACCACUUCAACUAUCACGAACAGCAAGAACUAUCCAGAUGAAAACUAACAAAUACAAUCAACUAUUUGAAAAGCAUUAAGGUAUAACUGCAGAGCCAAGCACCAUCCCCAAAACAAAAAAAGGAGAAAGAAUAAAAAGAAAAAAAGUAGAAAAACAUGAAGCCUAGCUGACAUUUAAAAGAAAAGAAUAAAGGUUUAGUGCAUAUGCAGAUGUUUCACCAUACUGAAUGAUGCAGCAUUCUCAGUCAUCUCAGAGGAGUUUGCAUCAGAAAAAUCCAACUGGAGUAGCUUCCAAAGAGCUGAUUUCAUGCAAUAAAAGAUGCACAGAAGUAUCUACUUCCUGAGAUAACAUUGGGAUCACGGGGAUGAAUCACAAGGUCAGAAAGGACCUACAAAAUCAUCUAGUCCAACUGGCCUCCCAUUACCACUACUACCACAAGCCACUAAACCAUAUCUUGUAGCUCCUCAGCCAGACACCUCUUGAACACUGCAAGGGAUGGUGACUCCACCACCUCCCUGGGCAGGCCAUUCCAGUGCCUACUGGAAUAAAUACUACUUGAGAGGUGAGCUUGGCUGGUGUGUUCUCUUAUCUGCUUAAGACCGUGCCUUACAUUUUAAAGUACAGUUUUAAAUUAUUUGGAAGUCUAACUCCCAGAGUACAGCACUAAUAAAAAUCUGUUUUAGGAUGUCUGGUCUUACUGCUGCACAAAUUCUCUUUUAAUGUCAGACUGCCACUGGUUCAGCAUCAUUACUUUAUUGCAUAAAUCAACAAAGAGAGGCAGAACUAAGAUUUUUUCUUAUAUUUUAUUUGUUUUGCAUCAUAUUCCGCUAUAGGAAAUCAAAAUAAACGUUAAAAAAAAAAAAAGACAGUUUGAAGUAUGCUUUGCUACUGUUAAAUAGAUAGAAAACUCCUAACUAGUGUUCAAGGAGAUAAUGAGAAAACUGAUUCUUCUCCCAUUGUUGAGAAACAAGAGUGUAUUAGGGUGUUUAAUGGGAUGCAUAACUAACCCCUUUAUCCAAAUAUGCUUUAUUACCCAGCAUUGGUAGUUCAAAAAAACUUCAUAUAAUCUCUCUGUGGGAUUUAAUCUGUUUGUUCCAUAAAAAUCUCUGAUUUUACUUUUCUUUUUUUAAGUCAUUUAUUCUUAUUUUUAACAUGGCUCAACCCUGUCAUGCAAGUAUAGAAAACAGCAGGACAACCUGAAUUUUAGGAAGUCUGAAAUAACCUUUUCUUCACUAAAGCUUUAAAAAUGGGCUUAGCUACUAUUGUCUUCCUAUGUAUUUUUAUUCUAGUAUCACUGGAAAAGAAAAAUGACCUACUAAAACAGCUAGAAAAAUUAGGUCUUGUGCUAACACACAGAAUAGCUGUAUGUAAAGGGAAACUUGAACUCAGUGAGACCAACAGUCUGCAUCUCCCUUGUUGAACUAUGGCCCAUGUGGACAGAGAAAAGCUCCUCUAGAGGAUAACGCAGAAUAGAAAAUGGCUUUGGGUGCCCCAUACCACCUACUGAAGAUGCUGUUUUGUUGUGACUGCCCACAGGAACCCAAAACAACCAAUCUUCCUUGGCUAAAGUCAGCCUUUGAAUAUACUCCAACACUCAUUCCCUAACUCCUUACAGCUCGUAGUACUCUGCUGGUUGUUCUUACAUAAGCUCAAAGGGCACAGCACUGGGAGACUUUUCUUCCCAGACUCAUCGUGUUAUUCUUUUUCCCCUAGUUCCAUUUGUCAUUUGAGUUGCAUGACUCAGUAAUUCCUCUGUAACUCCUACAUUCUUUUAAAAUUUAAAUGCAAUUUUCACAUUUAACAGUCAAGUUAUCCUUUGUUCUUAAUAACCUAUUUUCUCCAAGUCCUUAUUCACUGCAAUGUACCUUUAGCCCUUGAAUGUUUGGAUAAGGCAAAAACUUCGAUGUAAUCUCACCCUCUUAAUAGGAAAUGGGAAUUUAUCUUUCAUAUUUACCCCGUCCCCGGGGACUUCCAAGGUGAGGCUAAAUAAGGCCCUAGGCAACCUGAUCUAGCUGUGGUUUCUCUGUUCAUUGCAGGGGAGUUGGACUAGAUGGCCUUCAGAGGUCCCUUCCAACUCUAAAGAUUCUAUGAUUCUAUAUUUAUGAUUCAAAAAAUGUAUUUUUCCUUUUAAUAUAUAGAUAAGCAUUUUAUUAUGUAGGUAAACCUGCUUCCAGUUCUUCCAACUUAAACUUUAUUUUUCACAGUUAGGUUUUUAAUUCACUUGAUCUGAAGAUAAACUUCAAUAAGCACUCAGUAUACUUUAGGCAAGCACUGAAUAUUGGCACCUCAGAACAGAGGUAUUACAUUCAUCGUAUGGGCACUAAACUUGAAGUAUCAAUUUGGUACAAUGAGGACUAGUAGUCUUAAAAGAAAAGCAGUUAAGAAGUUAUUAGGCCCAAUAAAAUAAAGAAAAUGUCCCCAGUGUAUCAGGAGUGGCAUACAGUCAGUGUUUUCUUCAAGGGACUGCUAUCAGUCUUCGUUUUACAUACUAACCACCGUAUUCAGUCAAACCAAAGAUACACCUAUCCCCUACAUUGCAUCUUUCACAGAGGUUGGGAACAUAGGUCCAGGGAAACGCAUUCAAACAGGAAAAGCACCUCAGGAUCCUCCCUGCUCUCAAGAAACUGCGGCUUGCGCUCUUUUAAGCACAAAAUGGUGCUUUUGCACUGGAUGCCCAAAUUCAUCUGAACUUCUAGUGGUUCACAGUUAAACUACUCACUGCAAGAAAAAUACAACCUCUUGUUUUGUUCUCAAUCUGCCAAUUGAUAAUUUUAUUUUAUCCCCUCUGGGUCUCAUACUACAGGAGAUGGUUAAUGAGUAUACCCUACUCAUCUUUUCCAUUACACUCCUAUAUAAUGUUUAUCAUUUUCACCUUCAGCUGUUUCUUUGUCAAGCUGAAUAUUACUAAGCUAUUUAAUGGCUCCUUAUCAUCAUGCCAGCCAUUUCUACUUUUACUACGAAGCCCCUUUUUUUCUCCCCUUUCUUUAAAUACAGGGGAUCAGAACUGCAUGCAGAGGUCAAGAUAAAGCACAGGGUUUACAGACUGGCAAAGCAGUUUUAUGUUCUGUCACUCUGCUAUUCUCCCAUAGUAACUUAGAAAAGAAAAAAACAGUUCUGAAUAAUUACUUGGUGCUUGGAUUUACUGAGGCAAGCUCUCUACUCUUCUCCUACUAUUACUUCUUUAGUAGAUAAUAGUAGGAUUGCUGUCCUCUGCAUACAUUACUUCAUCCUACCAGUAUCAGCUUCAUCUACUGCUUCAUCCCUAGUUACCAAGUACCACAAGAUCCCUACUUGGUUCUUCAUAAUUGACUUUUAUUUUUGCUGUCUUCGCUAUGAGACCGUAUCAUUUAUUUCUAGUCUAUUUUUCAACUAGUUGUAAGUCUAGGAGAGGACUUUCCUCUUAUGUCAUAGCAGUUUCAUUUUGCUAAGCACCAUAGGUGAGUCUUUCUCAAAAAAACUUUUGGAAACCCAAGCUUACAGCAUCAGCUAGAUCACGCUUACUCACAAUGUCAGUGUUUUCGGAGAACCCAGACUGAUGAGGCAGCUCUACAAAGACAGUGCUGACUCUUUCCUGAUAGAACAAAUUUGCCCAUGGAUCCACUACGUCUCUUCUUCGUUAUAAUCAGCAGCAAAUUAGAUGGUAUGAACGUCAUACUUGUCCUGUUCUUUCCUGUAAGUUUCCUGGUAGCCUUCUUAAAAACAGACAUCACAUUUGCUGACCUCAGCUUCACUGGUACCAAAGCAAUACUGUGAGACUAAACAUCGCAGUCACCAGUUCAGCAUUUUACACUGGGAGAUAUACAGAUCUUUGGCAAAUUCAGUGCCCCAGCACAGCAAAUAUGAACAACUCACAUCAGUAACUCUGAUGCAGUGCAAUCUUCUUUGAGCGCUACAAAUCUCAGUCAUCUAUUGGCUCAAUGGCUCUUUCCUUUCCAAUGUUUUUAAAGAUGACUUCUGACAAGCUUCUUGACGUUUUAUAAAUCACAUAGACUUUCACUGCUUUUACUGUGCAUUUUGUUCUGAAUUCAGCCAAGUUUCACAUGUAUUACUUUUCUUGGAGGAGGCAAUGGCAGAAAUGACCAGACAACACAAGUUUUUGAAGGAUAUACAUUUCUUAUAGCCUAUUCUGCAGCUUAUCCAAGCUAAUUUUUUUUUUGUUUGUAAUUUUUUAAAGAGUCAGAGAAGAAGUUGCUACAGGAUAUUUACUUGUUCUGGAUCUCUGAUCAAUGACUUUUUUAAAUUGGCUGCAAGCAUCUUAUUCUUUUGGUUUGUCCUCUUACCAGGCUUUUUCAGACAUCCUAACGUGCAUUCUGCUAGCUUAUCUCUUGUACAUCUAUACCAUCAAUAACUUGCUUCAAAAAAUAAAAUGGAGAGACUAAAUACCUGGUUCUAGACUUCUAGGUGCUGCAUAGCAACUCUUCUAUUUUAAUCUGAUCAUCCCUCCUUCCAGACUCCUCUCUAUAUGAGACUGAAUUUGUUCAAGCACUUCUACACUGUUUCCUACAUCAUUCUUUGUCAACUUGUGUCCUACACGUAGCAAUGUUAAGGACUUCCAGACCCAGAGGCUGCAUCUUCUUGACCCAUAUGCUCUUUCCACUCAUCCUCAUGUAAGGUACUGAGAUAGUCUAGUCUUCUCUUGAUGUCAACCAGUUUGGCAUGCAGUUGGAAAGUUAUGAUGUGCUCCCUUCCAGCAUCAUAAAUCCACUUGCACUUCACUUAAGUGCACCUUCUUACCACAACAGGAAAUAUCCUACUAUCACUGAGGAUCAACACCAUGGAAGGACAUUCUUGAGAAAAAAGAAACCUGGCCAACACCUGAGAGAAAGAUCUCAUCUACAAAAUAUAAUUUCAGGAUCAUUUCUUCUUUAAAAUUUUGAUAUCCUUCUACAUUAAGAUACACUUGUAUAACAAGCCCAGAGGCAUCCAACCUAGAGAUAGCUGUAGGACUACAUGCCUGGAGCUUUAUUUCACACAUUUGCAAGCUAAGGAUACUUACUGUAUACAUGUUGUGACUUUCACAAGAGCCUCCUUAAGUUAUAAUAGCCUACAAUGGUAUCUUCCAGUGCUGUAACUAUAUCUUUGGUUUAACAGGUACUAACACCAAGAUUAAUAAAAUGCUACCCUUUUCUAACUGGAGAACUGGCAUCAGUCUCAUUAAUCUGAAUAGCCAAAGUGCCUAAGCUAGAUCUAGAUGGCCUCAGACAUACAAACAUUAACAAACAUUUCUGCUAAGAGUCAAGCAUAGAAUCAUAGAAUUGCUAAGGUUGGAAAAGACCCACAGGAUCAUCCAGUCCAACCAUUUGUUCACUCAUCACCAAUGGUUCUUGCUAAACUAUGUCCCUCAACACAACAUCCAAACGCUCUUUGAACACCUCCACGGUCGGUGACUCAACCAUCACUCUGGGCAGCCCAUUCCAGUGCCUGACCACCCUUUCAGAGAAGUAGUAUUUCCUAAUGUCCAGCCUGAAUCUUCCCUGGUGCAGCUUGAAGCCAUUAAGCCAUUGAAGCAAUGAUACUUCGUAGUCCAAUAGAUUAUACCCAUUGUUGUUUUAGUGUGAAAUGACUGAGUGCAUUGAGGGGCUUGCACAGUUUUAAGGCAACAACAUGCACAACCAGCCACAGCUUUCAGUUCAAAACAAUCACUGGACAGUUUUCUAAGAUGCAACAUUUGCAGUACCCUUAAUAAGAGUAGCACCUAUGAAUACAUCCUGCACGCAAUCAGAGAGUAUUCUGUGCUGGUUCUGCUGUUUUAGAUGUCAAAUUCAGGUUUCUUACAGAAAACUCUUCUUUCAGUUACAACUAAUACAAUAUAGCAGACUUGACAUGAUGCACACAAUUUUCAAGAACAAAAUAAGUCCUGAGAGUUUUUACACACACUGCUGUAUUUAUGGACAAAACAAUUAAACAUUUCAUUUUAUUGUUAAUGAUAGAUUGCACCAUACAGUAAAGAGAAAAAUAAUGAAUGAAUUCAGAAAAUAGGCCUGAUCUUUCAGUUGAUAGAAAAUUCUUCCCCUUUCCACCAUCAAAUUUAAUUUUAAAAAAAUGUAGUGCAAAUACAGUAGAUACUUCAUAAUCUCCAGUAAUGGCAGGGAAACUCAUCACAACUUGCUGAAUGCUAUGAAUCAUCUCAUGAACACAUAACUGCUACAGACUGUAGAAGGCACUUUAACAAGUAGUUUCAUUCAUUGAUGUCAAUACUUCCUAAUUAGCACAGAGAAGCGUCUGUAGAUUGAACUCUUGAGCAGCACGUUGCUUAGUUAACAGUUUUAUUUAAUAUUUUGGCAAACACUUGAUGUAAUGGGAGACCACAUUAAAAUUUUGUACCCGUAACAUUUUCAUUUUCUGUUCUCAACACAUCGGCACAAACUAAUGAACUCAGCAGUGUUUGACAAAGCCACAAGCAUAUGCUGACCUGUACUACAUCAGAAAAAAAAAUUUCAAAGCCUUUGUAAAUAGCCACAUUUAAGUUGGAUGAACUGCUUAGCUGUUUUGCUUAAUAAGUGAUAACAAUGAGAAUUACGUGGCCAUACAUGCCUUAGUUCUGCACACUUCAUCCACCCCAGCUAUGCCUAAGCGGGUCACCAUACAUAAGUAAGUGAUGAGCAACAUGAUGGUCAGUGAAAUAAACUGCCUGCAAAUGUGUUCUCACUUUGUACAAGGUGACUUGGUCAUCUGUGAACAUUUGUGGGAUCACCAUGUUCUCUCAGAAGCAAUUUAAAGGUUUAGACAGAAAGCCUUCCUAGAACCUAAAGAAAAACAAGAACAGCCAAAUGUAUUUAUAAACACAGUGGUGGUGGCACUUGGUCACUUCUUACCAGGAUAACUUCCCAUUCACAAGUUCCAAAAAACUCCUCAUGCUCCAGCUCUGAGUUCACCCCAUCCUCCGUGGCUUCCCAGGAAUCCUGGAAUGCAGACCCAUGGACUAAUUUCUACAGGCUGUGCACAAUGACGUAAGUGUACAAGACAAGCUUUGCUAUACUCUAAUAUUCUAAUUAACGAGAGAUCAUUUAAUCAGGUAGCCUAAUACUUCCCUUUUCUUAGAAGCAUGAGAGCUAAUCAUGGGCUCUUAUGUACUGCCUCUCCCUCCCCCCCCCCUCACCAGAUAUGAGCACUAUAAAGCAUCACACCCAGAUAAGUAUUUGAAAUGACACCUUUAUUUACAUCUUUAAUUCUCUUCAUGUUUUGUAUUCAGUGUUCAUAAAAAGAUACUAUAGGAGUGUUUCCAUGCCUAUAAUAUUUGACGUUUCUCCAUUUCAAGCAUAUUCAGGGAUGUAAUUACACUUAACUUUAUCAAUAUAAAAUCCAGGUAUUUAGAAGGAAAUUUACUCAACCCUCACACAACUCAAUCACACUCUGAUUCUUCAUAGUUAACAUACAUCAUGUCCAAGAAUCCCACCUCUCAUUGCAUAUUGCAUUGUAAUUAUUAUUUUUUUUUUUUUCCAUUUCAGUAAUCAGAUACAGCAUUUUCCUUAUCAAUUAGUGUAGCCACAGUAAGAGCUAAUUAUCCAAGAAUACUUAUUGUGCCAGGAAUACUGGGGGCACCGUAGGCAGUUGUAUGAAUCACUUCACAUACCUGUGGUUUUCCAGGUUCCUGUGCUUAGUCAUGAGUAUACUCUUCAUUCUCUCGUAUACAGAAUAUAAUUUCUGCCAAUUUUUGUUCUUGGCUUCUACACUGCCACCUGUAGUCAUACAAGAGAAAUUAGCCAUAUUUAAUGCUGCAAAUCCUAUUACCGCAACAUUUCAGCUCACUUGCCUUUCCGACACGACCAUUCUAAAGCAUUCCCCUUUGCAGAAAACAAAAGCGUUAAAAUCCUGGAAUUGAGUCAUUUGUCAUGUUCUCUUUACUCAGUUUCAGGAAGGGUGAGAAAUCCCAACGUAACCCAACAGAACAUUUCCAACUCUCCCAGACAAUUAAGAGCUGUACGGAUUUCUAUGUAUCCUUUGUUGCCUUACAGACACCCAAUCACCUCGAGAGAGCGGGGGGGAUUUCUGAAGUGGGAAUACAAACACAACUACACGUAGUUACUCGGUAAAUAUGAAAGUUGAUUUGAUUUGCUCUCCCAUCCGAAAAAUGAGCACAGUUUUACAGAGAUGCAAGCUUCACGCUUGCUUUAGCUGCCUCCACACAGCUUGUAAAGAACGCAUACAACAGAAGCUGAUCACAUCGCAGAGUUGAAGUGAUCUUCAACUUCUUAAAGCAACGAACGACCCUCGAUUCAUUCUGUGGUCACUGCAGUUUGAGCAACACGCCACGGAUUCCGCCGAAUUACACCCCGACACCAAAACCAAAUACACAGUACCCAGAACUCCCACGUUAACCAUUUCCUGAAGAUACAAUAAAAAAAAAAAAAAAAAAAAGAAAGAAAGAAAGAAAGAAACUCAACUCUUCCUGGAAAACAGUGAAGCUUUUAGAACAGGGGUUUCGCUGAAUACCGAAGUUUCGGAACGCAAUCUCCGGGGGAACGCGUGCGCGCGUACUCCCCGUUGUUCCAGCGAAGGAUGGCUCAUACGUUUUCUCUAGAAGCCACCGUGUGCGCACUGCCCAGCGGGGCUCCGGUUGGGAAAACGCUACCAAGUCCUUCGCAGACAGAAAGUAACUAACUUAGCUCCCCUCCCCGCGGCCGCGCGUGUGUGAGAAUGCCGCCGCCCGCGGACCUGCGCCCAUCGGGGAGCGCCCCGCACGCGGCGCUACGUCAGCCAAAGAAAGAAGAAAAAAAAAAAAAGCCCAUAAUAAUCAGAAAGCCGCAGACUGGAAUAGAAACCGAAAUCAAACGCGAUUUUCCAAGAACGCUCUCGCAAAGCGCAUCUUUAAAGAUGAGAUGCCCGUCAAUCGUCUAAAAUUAAAUAAACACGUUGAUUUCAAAUCAAUUAAUAAUGCCAAGCACCGUCGCCGCCUGCCUGUGCUCCAAAGCCUCGUCCCAGGAAAAAAUAUCAGCCAGAAACCAUAGAUGGGAGACCCAGAAGACGUUGCUGACUGUCAGUUGUUACAGGAAAAAUGGCACCCACUGACAUUCAUCAACUCUUGCUGAACGUUGAUGGAGACCAAAUAGUGGAUGUGAGCACAGUGAGUCAGUGGGUGGUGCACUUCAGCAGUUGUGACAGUGACAUGAAGACAAGCCACAUUCCAUAUGGCCAUGCACAGAGGUCACCCCAUGAAAUAAAGAGUGCCUUGGUCAGCUCAUCUGCACAAAUCAUCA